UACGUAGGGUGCGAGCGUUAAUCGGAAUUACUGGGCGUAAAGCGUGCGCAGGCGGUUCGUGAUGUCUGAUGUGAAAGCCCCGGGCUCAACCUGGGAAUUGCAUUGGAAACUAGCGGGCUGGAGUGUGGCAGAGGGGGGUGGAAUUCCACGUGUAGCAGUGAAAUGCGUAGAGAUGUGGAGGAACACCGAUGGCGAAGGCAGCCCCCUGGGCUAACACUGACGCUCAGGCACGAAAGCGUGGGGAGCAAACAGG
This 253-nucleotide ribosomal RNA is filed under the name uncultured bacterium. RNAcentral describes it as "partial 16S ribosomal RNA". It matches the Rfam family "Bacterial small subunit ribosomal RNA", at positions 524 to 776 of the family's 1533-position model. The record is from RNAcentral.